UACAGAGGUCUCAAGCGUUGUUCGGAUUCAUUGGGCGUAAAGCGCACGUAGGCGGGUUGUUAAGUCGGGGGUGAAAUCCUGGAGCUCAACUCCAGAACUGCCUUCGAUACUGGCGGCCUUGAGUCCGGGAGAGGUGAGUGGAACUCCGAGUGUAGAGGUGAAAUUCGUAGAUAUUCGGAAGAACACCAGUGGCGAAGGCGGCUCACUGGCCCGGUACUGACGCUGAGGUGCGAAAGCGUGGGGAGCAAACAGG
This 253-nucleotide ribosomal RNA is filed under the name uncultured bacterium. RNAcentral describes it as "partial 16S ribosomal RNA". It matches the Rfam family "Bacterial small subunit ribosomal RNA", at positions 524 to 776 of the family's 1533-position model. The record is from RNAcentral.